Molecule: transfer RNA, 76 nt
Filed under: Candidatus Roizmanbacteria bacterium CG_4_10_14_0_8_um_filter_39_9
Lineage: Bacteria; Candidatus Roizmaniibacteriota
Description: tRNA-Phe
Rfam family: tRNA
About the family: Transfer RNA (tRNA) molecules are approximately 80 nucleotides in length. Their secondary structure includes four short double-helical elements and three loops (D, anti-codon, and T loops).
Source: RNAcentral
GCUGAGAUAGCCAAGGUGGUCACGGCGGAGGUCUGAAAAACCCCAGAUGCGUGUUCGACUCACGCUCUCAGCACCC